RNAcentral lists this ribosomal RNA (401 nucleotides) under uncultured Eubacteriales bacterium. RNAcentral's name for it is "bacterial SSU rRNA". It matches the Rfam family "Bacterial small subunit ribosomal RNA", at positions 356 to 774 of the family's 1533-position model. Lineage: Bacteria; Bacillati; Bacillota; Clostridia; Eubacteriales. The record is from RNAcentral.
GGGGAAUAUUGCACAAUGGGGGGAACCCUGAUGCAGCAACGCCGCGUGAGUGAAGAAGCUCUUCGGAGCGUAAAACUCUGUCCUAAGGGAAGAAGAAUGACGGUACCUUAGGAGGAAGCCCCGGCUAACUACGUGCCAGCAGCCGCGGUAACACGUAGGGGGCGAGCGUUAUCCGGAAUUACUGGGCGUAAAGCGUGCGUAGGCGGCCAUGCAAGCUUGGGGUUUAAAGCUGCGGCUUAACCGCAGUACGCCUUUAGAACUGUAUGGCUUGAGUGCAGGAGAGGAGAGUGGAAUUCCUAGUGUAGCGGUGAAAUGCGUAGAGAUUAGGAGGAACACCAGUGGCGAAGGCGACUCUCUGGACUGUAACUGACGCUCAGGCACGAAAGCGUGGGUAGCGAACA